CGGCCGUAACUAUAACGGUCCUAAGGUAGCGAAAUUCCUUGUCGGGUAAGUUCCGACCCGCACGAAAGGUGUAACGAUUUGGGCACUGUCUCAACGAGGGACCCGGUGAAAUUGAAAUACCUGUGAAGAUGCAGGUUACCCGCGACUGGACAGAAAGACCCCAUGGAGCUUUACUGUAACCUGACAUUGGGUUUUGAUACAUUACGUACAGGAUAGGUGGGAGGCUUGGAAAGCUGGACGCUAGUCUGGCUGGAGCCGACGUUGGGAUACCACCCUUGAUGUAUUGAAAUUCUAACCGCGAGAGUAACGAAAUCCGGGACAGUGUCAGGCGGGCAGUUUGACUGGGGCGGUCGCCUCCGAAAGAGUAACGGAGGCGCCCAAAGGUUCCCUCAGCGCGGCCGGAAAUCGCGCGAAGAGUGUAAAGGCAGAAGGGAGCUUGACUGCGAGUCAAACACGACGAGCAGGUACGAAAGUAGGGCUUAGUGAUCCGGUGGUACCGAGUGGAAGGGCCAUCGCUCAACGGAUAAAAGCUACCCUGGGGAUAACAGGCUAAUCUCUCCCAAGAGUCCAUAUCGACGGGGAGGUUUGGCACCUCGAUGUCGGCUCAUCACAUCCUGGGGCUGAAGUCGGUCCCAAGGGUUGGGCUGUUCGCCCAUUAAAGUGGUACGUGAGCUGGGUUCAGAACGUCGUGAGACAGUUCGGUCCCUAUCCAUCGCGGGCGCAAGAGAUUUGAAGGGGGCUGCUCCUAGUACGAGAGGACCGGAGUGGACGAACCGCUGGUGUACCAAUUAUCCCGCCAGGGGUACAGUUGGGUAGCUACGUUCGGAAAGGAUAAACGCUGAAAGCAUCUAAGCGUGAAACCAGCCUUAAGAUGAGAUCUCUCAUAGAGCAAUCUAGUAAGACACCUUAAAGAAGAUGAGGUUGAUAGGUCGGGAGUGUAAGUACAGCAAUGUAUUGAGCGGACCGAUACUAAUAUGUCGAGGGCUUGACUUA
RNAcentral lists this ribosomal RNA (993 nucleotides) under human gut metagenome. Its description in RNAcentral is "bacterial LSU rRNA". It matches the Rfam family "Bacterial large subunit ribosomal RNA", at positions 1931 to 2925 of the family's 2925-position model. The record is from RNAcentral.